GACAGGGGUAACUGCAGCCUGGAGCAAUGGGCGUGCCGAAAGACAAGAGAAGGUGGCGGCGAUAAGACGUGAGACAUACUGUAUGUACAGUGAGACAAAACGAUGAGCGCAUCUGCAUCGAAGGUGAAGCUCUCAGAGCUGAUAGUAUAUAAAUGCGUCCUUUAUGUGCAAUACAGUACAGAAUACAUCCUGUAUCCAACUAAUGCAGAGUAUAUUCAAGUUGCCAACACACUGGUUGUGAAGAACCCUUUCCAGAGAAAUAUAAAAGGAAAUGACUGUAAGUUGCAUUGUUUUUAAUCCAUUGGUUUAUCUCUAUCAACACAAUCACACACAAUAUUGUAGUAACAAUAUAUUGUAAUCUUUAUUUGCUGGAAAAUGACAAUCAGUCAAAUUUGUGUUUUUAGCACACCUG
Cyprinus carpio carpio is the source of this 412-nucleotide long non-coding RNA. NCBI's taxonomy places the organism in Eukaryota, Metazoa, Chordata, Actinopteri, Cypriniformes, Cyprinidae. The record is from Ensembl.